This 642-nucleotide ribosomal RNA is filed under the name bacterium. RNAcentral describes it as "bacterial SSU rRNA". It matches the Rfam family "Bacterial small subunit ribosomal RNA", at positions 87 to 764 of the family's 1533-position model. The record is from RNAcentral.
CGGGACUAGUGGCGGACGGGUGAGUAACGCGUGGGAACGUGCCCCUUGGUUCGGAAUAGCCCCGGGAAACUGGGAGUAAUACCGGAUAAGCUCUACGGAGGAAAGAUUUAUCGCCAAGGGAUCGGCCCGCGUUGGAUUAGGUAGUUGGUGGGGUAAUGGCCUACCAAGCCGACGAUCCAUAGCUGGUUUGAGAGGAUGAUCAGCCACACUGGGACUGAGACACGGCCCAGACUCCUACGGGAGGCAGCAGUGGGGAAUCUUAGACAAUGGGGGAAACCCUGAUCUAGCCAUGCCGCGUGAUCGAUGAAGGCCUUAGGGUUGUAAAGAUCUUUCAGAUGGGAAGAUAAUGACGGUACCAUCAGAAGAAGCCCCGGCUAACUCCGUGCCAGCAGCCGCGGUAAUACGGAGGGGGCUAGCGUUAUUCGGAAUUACUGGGCGUAAAGCGCACGUAGGCGGAUCAGAAAGUCAGAGGUGAAAUCCCGGGGCUCAACCCCGGAACGGCCUUUGAAACUCCUGGUCUUGAGGUCGAGAGAGGUGAGUGGAAUUCCGAGUGUAGAGGUGAAAUUCGUAGAUAUUCGGAGGAACACCAGUGGCGAAGGCGGCUCACUGGCUCGAUACUGACGCUGAGGUGCGAAAGCGUGG